This 492-nucleotide ribosomal RNA is filed under the name uncultured bacterium. RNAcentral's name for it is "partial 16S ribosomal RNA". It matches the Rfam family "Bacterial small subunit ribosomal RNA", at positions 29 to 507 of the family's 1533-position model. The record is from RNAcentral.
AGUGAACGCUGGCGGUAGGCCUAACACAUGCAAGUCGAACGGCAGCACAGUAAGAGCUUGCUCUUACGGGUGGCGAGUGGCGGACGGGUGAGGAAUACAUCGGAAUCUACUUUUUCGUGGGGGAUAACGUAGGGAAACUUACGCUAAUACCGCAUACGACCUACGGGUGAAAGCAGGGGAUCUUCGGACCUUGCGCGAUUGAAUGAGCCGAUGUCGGAUUAGCUAGUUGGCGGGGUAAAGGCCCACCAAGGCGACGAUCCGUAGCUGGUCUGAGAGGAUGAUCAGCCACACUGGAACUGAGACACGGUCCAGACUCCUACGGGAGGCAGCAGUGGGGAAUAUUGGACAAUGGGCGCAAGCCUGAUCCAGCCAUACCGCGUGGGUGAAGAAGGCCUUCGGGUUGUAAAGCCCUUUUGUUGGGAAAGAAAAGCAGCAGGCUAAUACCCCGCUGUUCUGACGGUACCCAAAGAAUAAGCACCGGCUAACUUCGCG